Frieseomelitta varia is the source of this 713-nucleotide long non-coding RNA. RefSeq lists it as uncharacterized. The record is from RefSeq and is a predicted model, not a curated record. The transcript is spliced from 2 exons. NCBI's taxonomy places the organism in Eukaryota, Metazoa, Arthropoda, Insecta, Hymenoptera, Apidae.
UUUUCUAUAUAAAGGGAAAUGAGCAUACAUAUAAAAUACAUGUGGUCUUACACGAGCUACGAGAGUUACGUAAGCUUAAUUUAGUUUCAAAAUUGUACAUUUAACAGUAACUAUAGUAGGGUUACACAACGUGUAACAUGUAUUUUCCGUUAUACACGUGUUCAUGCAGUGGAGUAUAUUGUAAAAAUAUGUGUGUACAGAAAUGAAUGCAUAAAGAAUAAUUUAUGGACUAUUAUAAUAUUCUAUAAGCACGUGGAGAUCAAUUCUGCUGGCAUUUAAAACCGAUCAGCUAAAUCAAUGAUAGACGAAAUUUUUCGCAACUACAGAUGUUAAAUCUUACGUAGAUUCAAAAAUAACUUACCAAUUUCCUGAUCCGACGAUACAAACACGUUGUUUGUCUGCCAUGAUUUUGAAUGGUAUACCAAUAACGAAAUUAUACAAUUAUACAGAACAAAAAUGAUCGCAAAGUAAGACACGAUAGCCGUUCACCAUCAAAGCAGGGGAUGACUGGAACUACUUCGAAUGUGGAAAGACUUGCGCUAUUUUUCGCAGAAGUGGGAGUAUGGAAACACUGGCGGUGAUAGGCGGUCUGUUUCUACUGUGCGAGCAAGGUUCCGUUGGUCGACCAAUCAAAGUUCAAUAUGAUAAAAACUAUAUAAAUACCAUCUUUGGACUUUAUCUUGUGGAGAUUAUGUAAUUGUGUCGGCGCAAUC